CCUACGGGGUGCAGCAGUCGAGAAUCAUUCACAAUGGGGGAAACCCUGAUGGUGCAACGCCGCGUGAGUGAGGAAGUAUUUCGGUAUGUAAAGCUCUAUCAGCAGGGAAUAGAAAAGAAGGUACCUGAAAAAGAAGCCCCGGCUAACUACGUGCCAGCAGCCGCGGUAAUACGUAGGGAGCAAGCGUUAUCCGGAUUUACUGGGUGGAAAGGGAGCGUAGACGGAAAGGCAAGUCAGAGGUGAAAGCCCAAGGCUCAACCAUGGGACUGCUUUUGAAACUGUCAAACUAGAGUACGGGAGAGGUAAGAUGAAUUCCUAGUGUAGCGGUGAAAUGCGUAGAUAUUAGGAGGAACACCAGUGGCGAAGGCGUCUUACUGGACCGAAACUGACGUUGAGGCUCGAAAGCGUGGGGAGCAAACAGGAUUAGAUACCCUUGUAGUC
Molecule: ribosomal RNA, 441 nt
Filed under: uncultured bacterium
Lineage: Bacteria
Description: partial 16S ribosomal RNA
Rfam family: Bacterial small subunit ribosomal RNA
Source: RNAcentral